Molecule: ribosomal RNA, 163 nt
Filed under: Escherichia sp. E4702
Lineage: Bacteria; Pseudomonadati; Pseudomonadota; Gammaproteobacteria; Enterobacterales; Enterobacteriaceae
Description: partial 23S ribosomal RNA
Rfam family: Bacterial large subunit ribosomal RNA
Source: RNAcentral
AUCUAAGCACGAACUUGCCCCGAGAUGAGUUCUCCCUGACCCUUUAAGGGUCCUGAAGGAACGUUGAAGACGACGACGUUGAUAGGCCGGGUGUGUAAGCGCAGCGAUGCGUUGAGCUAACCGGUACUAAUGAACCGUGAGGCUUAACCUUACAACGCCGAAG